CGAUAAGAUAGCAGUAACGGUAACGAGAUAUAAACAGCACUAGCAUGCACUACGACUCGCAAGGCAGACCCGAUAACCAAACAAUAGCUGUAGGUGGUUAGUGGAGGCAAUAUAGGCUGCUUGAGGUAACAAGUGGAAGGGACACGUGACAAGAACGCAACUUAAGGAUAGCAUGAGGGAGAAGGCAAAAUAAAAUAGGUGAGCGACUUCUGCAGGGGCAGGAGUAUAAGGGAAAUGCUUGCCUGUUAAAGCUUGUCGGGGGACAUCCGGAGAUCUUGUCGUAUCUCACCACACCACUUCGUGAUCCUAUCCGGGAAGAAGCAAAUGCUGGAACACACAACGUAUGCAAGUCUUACUACUACGGAAGAAGAACCAGCAUGAUGAAGAUGAUAUGCAU
Non-coding RNA from Lolium perenne, 397 nucleotides. The record is from RefSeq and is a predicted model, not a curated record. NCBI's taxonomy places the organism in Eukaryota, Viridiplantae, Streptophyta, Magnoliopsida, Poales, Poaceae.